GACGAACGCUGGCGGCGUGCUUAACACAUGCAAGUCGAACGAUGAGGCCUAGCUUGCUAGGUGGAUUAGUGGCGCACGGGUGAGUAAUACGUGAGUAACCUACCUUUAACUCUGGGAUAAGCCCGGGAAACUGGGUCUAAUACCGGAUACGACCAAUCUCCGCAUGGGGUGUUGGUGGAAAGCGUUAUGUAGUGGUUAUAGAUGGGCUCACGGCCUAUCAGCUUGUUGGUGAGGUAACGGCUCACCAAGGCGACGACGGGUAGCCGGCCGGAGAGGGUGACGGGCCACACGGGACUGAGACACGGCCCAGACUCCUACGGGAGGCAGCAGUGGGGAAUAUUGCACAAUGGGCGCAAGCCUGAUGCAGCGACGCCGCGGGAGGGAUGACGGCCUUCGGGUUGUAAACCUCUGUUAGCAGGGAAGAAGAGAGAUUGACGGUACCUGCAGAGAAAGCGCCGGCUAACUACGUG
Molecule: ribosomal RNA, 470 nt
Filed under: uncultured bacterium
Lineage: Bacteria
Description: partial 16S ribosomal RNA
Rfam family: Bacterial small subunit ribosomal RNA
Source: RNAcentral